CGCGUAGGCGGCCGAAUAAGUCAGAUGUGAAAGCCCGGGGCUCAACCCCGGAAGUGCAUUUGAAACUGUUUGGCUUGAGUAUGGUAGAGGGAAGUGGAAUUCCAGGUGUAGCGGUGAAAUGCGUAGAUAUCUGGAGGAACACCGGUGGCGAAGGCGACUUCCUGGACCAAUACUGACGCUGAGGCGCGAAGGUGUGGGUAGCAAACAGGAUUAGAUACCCUGGUAGUCC
RNAcentral lists this ribosomal RNA (229 nucleotides) under uncultured bacterium. RNAcentral's name for it is "partial 16S ribosomal RNA". It matches the Rfam family "Bacterial small subunit ribosomal RNA", at positions 568 to 796 of the family's 1533-position model. The record is from RNAcentral.